UCGAGAUGCAAGCGGAACUGAAUCUUGAAAUUCCAUAUGUUGGUUGCGUAAUCAUUCCAAUUGUUUCCCUCCAUUCAAAAGAAGGAAGCAAAGUCAUUCCUGACGACAAAUUGUGGUAUAGACUGCUGCUGAACCAAGAGAGGCCCAUUUGUUGUAUGCACCCUACUCAAAUAGCUACUUCUAAUGCCGAGAUUGUUCAGUGUUAGAGAAACAUGUUAAAGAGAGUUUUCACUGCUCUCUCAAGAGUUACCAUGAUCAAUGGCUGAACCACUGGAAACGUCAUAUAGCUGCCCCGUCACAGGACGACUGCAUAUGUCAUUGAUCAUGGGAGUGACUGUGAUUGUUCCUAUUGUUCAGCUUUUGAUAAGGAUUCAUUGGUUAACAAGAAUGCAGAAAUAGUACAUGGAUCAUGGGUUAAGGCGGGUUCCUCAAAGACCUACUUACCCACAAUAAAGGAUUUUGGAUAAAGAUUAAAAUUAGAAGCUGUUGCAACAUUCUUUGGUGAGGGAAAACCUCGGCUGCAAACUGAAGUGAAAACAAAUCAUGUUAUCAUUCCGCCUCCUUGUCGCUAUAUGAUUCCAGUCACACCACUGGAUGGUUUUAGUAACUUUGAAUUGGAAUCAAAAAUUUGUUUUACUAGGUCUUUUAGCGUGCUCUCAUACAAUAUCCUUGCUGAUCUGUAUGUUACUCCUGGUACAUACAACUACCGUCCUGCUUCGAUCCUUAAAUGGGAAUACCGAAGCCAAAAUUUACUCCAUGAGAUUAUUAGAUACGACGCAGAUGUAAUUUGUCUUCAGGAGUUAGAAUAUGAUUACUUUGAGGAGUUCUUUAUGCCCAAGCUUGAAGAAAUUGGCUGUUUUGGUAUACACAAGUCGAAGACAUUUGAGCUGUUUACUUCCAAAAAAGGCUACGCAUCUGAAAGGUGUGCAACAUUUUUCGCCUUAGUAAAUUCAGACUGAUUAAGAAAUAUGAGCUCAAGUUUAAAAAUACUGCACAAAAAAAGCCUGGUCACUUGAUGCAGAAAAGAGCCGUAGUAUGAUGAAGGACAAUAUUGCACUUACUGUAAUAUUGGAGGCAAUUAAAGCUGAACCGGUUUCUGACACGUUAAAUCAUCGAAUUUGUGUGGUAUGGCAUCCAUCAAGACUUUGAGGCAUAGUCAUUCGUCUAUUAGUUUUAGGCGUCCGAUAUGUUUAAAUCGGUAAUAUCAGGCAAAUGUUCAUGCAUCUGCGGAUCCACAGAAUACAGAUGUAAAACUAUGGCAGGUAUUUUAUGUUGGUUUUCAAAUUGUAUCCCCUUCUCAGCUUCUUAUAAGAAAGCUUGACAAAUUUUUUCAAGAACUUGUUACUGCAACCGGUUGGAGCCCUUAUUGAAGAUCUGGAGCGAAAUCUAGCUCAUUCAAUUAUUCCAGUUCUCAUUUAUGCGGAUCUUAACUCUCUCCCAAGAAGUGCUGCUCAUACUCUUGUAGUUAAUGGGUGGGUGGACCUUAAACAUGAAGAAUUGGUGAACACUCCUGAUGGAAUAAUUGAACAUCUCAAGGUUGCACAUAAAUUGCUACCUCUGGCUAGUGCAUAUUCAUCGUUUUCAAGAACGAAAAAUGGCGAUAUGAUGGAUUCUGAUACAAAGGAGCCUCGAUUCACCACUUCUACACUCUAUUUCCGCAAUACAGUAGAUUUACAUUUUCUAAACAGAGGGUAUGUUGAAGUGGUGGUGGCGAUUGGGUAAAGAGAAGAAUGCUCUUUGGGCCAAAAUCAUUAGAGAGAAAUAUGGGGAUAAUCGCACUGUUUGGAGAACUAAGGAUUGCAAGGAUCCCUAUGGGGUGAGCAUUUGGAGGCAUAUCAAUUCAGUUGCUCACACCUUCUUUGGUUCUAUCCAAUUUAAGAUUGGUAGAGGAGACACUGUUAGGCUUUGGGAGGAUAAAUGGUGCAGUGAAGGGAUUUUGGCUUCUUUAUGUCCAUCGUUGUAUAACAUUUCGACUACUAAGCAUAUCUCCAUUAUGGAUGCUGUGAGUUCUGAUGAAGCCGGUACUAAUUGGAAUCUUGGCCUGAACAGUCGAAGGAGAUUUAUAUGAUUGUGAAAUUCAACAGCUGCUAACGAUUUUGCCGCUACUGGACACUAUUCAGGCAUCUCCGGAUGAGGAUGAUGAAAUGAUUUGGGUAGGUAAUAAGAAUGGAGCCUACUCAGUUCAGUCAGCAUAUGCUAAGGAGGUUGGUUUGGCGGCGGUUAGUAAGUCCUUUCCUAGAAAAAAGAUCUGGUCAAUGAAUUGGCCAUUAAAACACGCCUUCUUCCUUUGGCAGGCGGUCCUAGAUAGACUGCCUACUCUAGUGAACUUACAAAAAAGGGGCUCCGCCAUUAUCUCCACUAAUGGCUCGCCUAUUUCUAAUCGGUGUAUCUUCUGUGGAACUCAUCCUGAGAGCAAUGACCAUCUGUUUAUCCGCUGUGAAUUUGCCAUCAGCAUUUGGUACUAUUGCAGGAAUUGCGCAAGAAAACUAGAUGACGCUCCUUCUUCAGUCUUGGGUAUCAUUUCUAGUUGGAAUUCUAGUGGUUUAUCGUUUCUGGGUAAGGAGAUAUGGAAGAGGCUGCCUACUAGCAUAAUAUGGAAUAUUUGACUCGAAAUGAAUAAUAGGACGUUUAACGGCAAAGCUCGGCAGUGGUCUUCUCUUAUUUCUGAUAUCAAAAUUCAAACUUUCUAUUGGGCUUCUUCGAAACCUGGUUUCGAAAGCAUUCAUCCUGAAGAUGUUGUUGUUAAUUGGGAGAACAUUUUCUUUGAACCUCCCUAGGGGCCUUGUUUUAUUUUAUUUUUCUGUUGGGGUCUCUUGUCUGUCGCUUGAGUAGGCUUUCUAGGUCUGUUUUCCUAGUUUGGGGCUUACUUUGUAAGCUGUUCAUUGUUUGUGGGGGUGGGGGAGCCUGGUCUCUCUCUAA
Molecule: long non-coding RNA, 2919 nt
Organism: Papaver somniferum (opium poppy)
Lineage: Eukaryota; Viridiplantae; Streptophyta; Magnoliopsida; Ranunculales; Papaveraceae
Exons: 9
Source: RefSeq, a predicted model, not a curated record